GAUGAAGAACGCAGCAAAAUGCGAUAAGUAAUGUGAAUUGCAGAAUUCAGUGAAUCAUCGAAUCUUUGAACGCACAUUGCGCCCGCCAGUAUUCUGGCGGGCAUGCCUGUUCGAGCGUCAUUUCAACCAUCAAGCCCCAGGCUUGUGUUGGGGACCUGCGGCUGCCGCAGGCCCUGAAAACCAGUGGCGGGCUCGCUAGUCACACCGAGCGUAGUAGCAUACACAUCGCUCAGGGCGUGCUGCGGGUUCCGGCCGUUAAACCCCUUUUUUACCCAAGGUUGACCUCGGAUCAGGUAGGAAGACCCGCUGAACUUAAGCAUAUCAAUAAGCAGAGGA
Molecule: unclassified non-coding RNA, 336 nt
Filed under: soil metagenome
Description: partial contains 5.8S ribosomal RNA, internal transcribed spacer 2, and large subunit ribosomal RNA
Rfam family: 5.8S ribosomal RNA (bases 1-120)
Source: RNAcentral